Episyrphus balteatus (marmalade hoverfly) is the source of this 870-nucleotide long non-coding RNA. RefSeq lists it as uncharacterized. The record is from RefSeq and is a predicted model, not a curated record. The transcript has 2 exons. NCBI's taxonomy places the organism in Eukaryota, Metazoa, Arthropoda, Insecta, Diptera, Syrphidae.
AUCAGCAGCAGCAAAUUGUGUGAGCUGAGGAAAAAAUCAAAAUACUUCAAAAUGCAAGAUAUUAAAAAUGUAAGUAAAAUUUAAUUGUGUUAAUUAACGAAUAUUAUAUUGGAAUAUCAUUUUAGAUUUAUGAAAAUGUGCUGAAAAUGGCAAGAAAAUGCAGCAACAGAAUUCGUGUCAAACGAAUCAAAAAUUGUAAAGGUAAUAAUGUAUAGGUAUUAUUACAAAAAUCUCUUUGACAGAAUUCGUGGCAUUCGCCACCUAACUACUUUCGAGCCCGACAGGGCUUUUGACAAUUCGACAUGUGACUCCAACAGACCAACGUGUUUCGUCUUUGCUCGGGUUAAUCGAAGAGUCCGAUUUAACCCGAGUUGAGAUGGCUAAGCAUCGAUUCUUUUGUGGAAGCACUUGAGAAUGGUGGCAUCAACACCGUUUUCAGGAUGUCUCUGCGGAGGAUGAGAUGUUUUUUAUGAUUUUUAUUUAUUUUAUUUUCAGGAUUUGGCGUUAGGCACAACAGUUGGGUUUAUCAGUUGGGUAAUGUUGUAUCCUUACAAGAAGCAAGGGGUAGACAUUAACUAGCUGAUAAGCCGGAUUGUUGUGCCUGGGUACGAUUGUUGGGCUCGUCGUCAGAGGGUGUUGUAUCCUUCCAAGAAGCGAAGGGUAGACACAAUCUGGCUGAUGAGCCCAACUUUUGUGCCCAAGGACAAGCGAAGGGUUGACACAAUCUGGCUGAUGACCCCAACUUUUGUGCCCAAGGACGAGUCGGUGACGGAUGAGCCCAAAUGUUUUCUUGAUUCUCCUUUCAAUAUGAUUUUCUUCAACACACAUCGAACGGUGCAUUAAACGCAUGAAAACAAAAAAAAAAAGAAA